This 21-nucleotide non-coding RNA is filed under the name Rattus norvegicus (Norway rat). Lineage: Eukaryota; Metazoa; Chordata; Mammalia; Rodentia; Muridae. The record is from RNAcentral.
UCAAGGUAGCUGGACACCGUC